This 775-nucleotide ribosomal RNA is filed under the name uncultured Neocallimastigales. RNAcentral describes it as "partial large subunit ribosomal RNA". It matches the Rfam family "Eukaryotic large subunit ribosomal RNA", at positions 24 to 640 of the family's 3401-position model. The record is from RNAcentral. Lineage: Eukaryota; Fungi; Neocallimastigomycota; Neocallimastigomycetes; Neocallimastigales.
UAUCUCUGUAGAGUCUGCAUAUCAAUAAGCGGAGGAAAAGAAACUAACAAGGAUUCCCCUAGUAACGGCGAGUGAAGCGGGAAGAGCUCAAAUUUGAAAUCUUCAAGGUUUGACCUUGACGAAUUGUAGUUUAAAGAAGUGUUUUCGGUUAGAGGAGUAGUAAAAGUUCUUUGGAAUAGGACAUCAUAGAGGGUGAGAAUCCCGUAUUUGACCUAUUCUUUCUAGCUUUGUGAUACACUUUCAAAGAGUCGGAUUGUUUGGGAAUGCAGUUCAAAAUGGGUGGUAAAUUUCAUCUAAAGCUAAAUAUUGGCGAGAGACCGAUAGCGAACAAGUACCGUGAGGGAAAGAUGAAAAGAACUUUGAAAAGAGAGUUAAACAGUACGUGAAAUUGUCAAAAGGGAAGCGUUUGACACCAGUGUUGUUUUUCCGAAAAUCAAUUAAAAAUGGAUUCAUGCUAAGUUGUAUUGACCUUAUCAGCUUGCAAUUUAGUUUUGGGUUUCUUUUUGAUGCACUUUUCGGUUAACAAGUCAACAUCAAUUUCCUUUGCUGUAAAAAGGCAGGAGGAAGGUGGCUUCAAUUUCGGUUGAAGUGUUUAUAGCCUUCUGUCUCUGCAGUCGGGGAGAUUGAGGUCUGCAGCGUAGAUCCUUCGGGGCUAGAUACAUUCGUGCUAAGUUAUAGCCUUUUAUAGACAACUUGUUGACUAUGAUUGGUCUUGUAAUUUACUCGCGAGUGCUAUUUUACCUACGCUUAGGAUGUUGAUCUACAGAGCGAGAGU